Molecule: ribosomal RNA, 459 nt
Filed under: uncultured bacterium
Lineage: Bacteria
Description: partial 16S ribosomal RNA
Rfam family: Bacterial small subunit ribosomal RNA
Source: RNAcentral
CUACGGGAGGCAGCAGUAAGGAAUAUUGCGCAAUGGAGGCAACUCUGACGCAGCCAUGCCGCGUGCAGGAAGAAGGCCUUAUGGGUCAUAAACUGCUUUUAUUUAGGAAUAAACCCUCGCUCGUGAGCGAGGCUGAAGGUACUGAAUGAAUAAGCACCGGCUAACUCCGUGCCAGCAGCCGCGGUAAUACGGAGGGUGCAAGCGUUAUCCGGAUUUAUUGGGUUUAAAGGGUGCGCAGGCGGGCUAUUAAGUCAGUGGUGAAAUCCCGGGGCUCAACUCCGGAACUGCCAUUGAUACUGAUAGUCUUGAGUUUGGUUGAAGUGGGCGGAAUGUAGCAUGUAGCGGUGAAAUGCAUAGAUAUGCUACAGAACACCAAUCGCGAAGGCAGUUCACUAAGCCAAAACUGACGCUCAUGCACGAAAGCGUGGGGAUCAAACAGGAUUAGAUACCCCCGUAGUC